AGCCUAGAGAGUUAGAAUUUUAGGUGAGACCUGCCCAAUGCUUAUAGUCAAUGGCCGCAGUACCCUGACUGUGCUAAGGUAGCGUAAUAAGUUGGCUUUUAAAUGGAGUCGUGUAUGAAUGGAUUUACGGGGUUAAUCUGUCUCCUUCGAGUUCUGUUGAAUUUUUCUAAUAGGGUGAAAAUGCCCUUGUUUUAGAUAAAGGACGAUAAGACCCUUGGAGUUUUUACUAAUAGGUUUUAUUGACCCUUGUGUUUUUGCUGGGGCGGCAUAGAGGUAAAGUUUAACCCUCUUUUAUUUAUAAGCCGAUCGUUUUAAGAAAAUUUAAACUACCCGAGGGAUAACAGCAUUAUUCUUGAUAGAGUUUGUGACCUCGAUGUUGGACUAGGGAUUAGCUGGGCUAGCCGCCUAGAUUUAUGGUUCUGUUCGAACCAAACCCCCU
This 439-nucleotide ribosomal RNA is filed under the name Lobiger souverbii. RNAcentral's name for it is "partial large subunit ribosomal RNA". It matches the Rfam family "Bacterial large subunit ribosomal RNA", at positions 1828 to 2596 of the family's 2925-position model. The record is from RNAcentral. Lineage: Eukaryota; Metazoa; Mollusca; Gastropoda; Oxynoeidae.